UGUCUUGUAAAUGGAAUGAUGGUGACUUAAACCCUCACCAGAGUACCAAUUGGAGGGCAAGUCUGGUGCCAGCAGCCGCGGUAAUUCCAGCUCCAAUAGCGUAUAUUAAACUUGUUGCAGUUAAAAAGCUCGUAGUUGAAUUUCAGCGUUUCGCGUGUGCCUCUUUUGGCCCAUCUCGUCUCGCUUUUUUUAUUACUUUGAGAAAAUUAGAGUGUUUCAAGCAGGCUUUUGUCUUGAAUACUUGAGCAUGGAAUAAUAGAGUAGGACCUUGGUUCUAUUUUGUUGGUUUUGUUACCUUGGUAAUGGUUAAUAGGAACGGUUGGGGGCAUUCGUAUUUAACUGUCAGAGGUGAAAUUCUUAGAUUUGUUAAAGACGAACUACUGCGAAAGCAUUUGCCAAGGACGUUUCCAUUAAUCAAGAACGAAAGUUAGGGGAUCGAAGACGAUCAGAUACCGUCGUAGUCCUAACCAUAAACUAUGCCGACUAGGGAUUGGAGGUCGUCAUUUUUCCGACUCCUUCAGCACCUUGAGAGAAAUCAAGGUCUUUGG
This 548-nucleotide ribosomal RNA is filed under the name Babesia occultans. RNAcentral describes it as "SSU rRNA". It matches the Rfam family "Eukaryotic small subunit ribosomal RNA", at positions 499 to 1110 of the family's 1831-position model. The record is from RNAcentral. Lineage: Eukaryota; Apicomplexa; Aconoidasida; Piroplasmida; Babesiidae.